GAUGCCUAUGGAGACAGCUGGGCCAUGGAGUUGUGACUUGUGGGCCCCAGGCCUGACCAGGCAACCUGGCUGAUCCGUUCUGUUUCGAUACUGGCUGAGGCUCCUUCAGCUUAUGUACAAUGAAGAGAUGCCUGGAGAGAGAUACAUGAGAGGUAUAGCAGAGGCCACAUUCCCUGCACUGAUACGAAGAGCCAUCAGAUUUGUGCUGAGGGAUAUGUUCAUGAAAUUGAAGAAGAUUUUCUGUUGUAAAGCCACACACAGCACAUUUGUGGACUUUAAAGACAUUUAUUUUCAACUUCUUCAAUGGCUGCGUGAUUGCUCCUCUGGGAGGCCUGAAUUCCAGUACAGGUUCUUCCAACUUACGCUUUGGACUGGGAACCUAAAAAACAAGAAAAGUGUAUUUUAUGCAGUUAUAAAUACACAAUUCUUCUCAUGAAUAUUCACCAUUUGUGGACUUAAAAAUCUUCCAUGGAUAUGUUCCAAUAACCCCCUGCUAAAUCCACUCUCUCAAGUAAUAGAAACAACCAUCUAUGUCAACAAGAAUCAGUUCAGAUUCAUUUUGCUAGGUCACAAUGCGCCAAAUGCUGUACGAACAUUAAUAAAUGUUUUCCAGUAUUACUGUA
This is a long non-coding RNA of Mauremys reevesii (Reeves's turtle), 623 nucleotides long. RefSeq lists it as uncharacterized. Lineage: Eukaryota; Metazoa; Chordata; Testudines; Geoemydidae. The record is from RefSeq and is a predicted model, not a curated record. The transcript is spliced from 2 exons.